This 253-nucleotide ribosomal RNA is filed under the name uncultured bacterium. Its description in RNAcentral is "partial 16S ribosomal RNA". It matches the Rfam family "Bacterial small subunit ribosomal RNA", at positions 524 to 776 of the family's 1533-position model. The record is from RNAcentral.
UACAGAGGCCUCGAGCGUUAGGCGGAAUCACUGGGCUUAAAGCGUGUGUAGGCGGACUUCUAAGUGCCUUGUGAAAUCCCACGGCUCACCCGUGGAACUGCUGGGCAUACCGGGAGUCUUGAGCCACCUAGGGGCGAGCGGAACAAAUGGUGGAGCGGUGAAAUGCGUAGAUAUUGGGAGGAACACCAGAGGCGAAGGCGGCGCACUGGACGGUAACUGACACUCAAUUGCGAAAGCGUGGGGAGCAAACAGG